UUGGAAUGCUUCUGAAUAAAGUCCUUCCUGCAGGAUCGGGAAGGCACAGCCAGAGAGGCUGCCUGCACUUUAUGUGUAACGCGCCGUCAACAUAUCCCUUCCAGCGACAAUCAAUGGACCCUUUUGGGGCUAGUAGCUCAGUUGGUUAGAGCACACGCUUGAUAAGCGUGGGGUCGGAGGUUCAAGUCCUCCCUGGCCCACCAGUCCUCUGUUCAUGUUCCGUAAGCGGGCAUCUUGUGAUGCUGGCUGAUGGACAUGGCCUGAUGGGGGCGUAGCUCAGCUGGGAGAGCACCUGCUUUGCAAGCAGGGGGUCGUCGGUUCGAUCCCGUCCGCCUCCACCACACUUUACUGGUGUUGAGAGGUCUGGGAAUGAUUGUCGCCGGAAGAUAAUGGAGAUCGGACGGAUAGCUUGUGGAACCGCGUUGGCGGUGCACGGGGUAUUGCGGUCUGGUAAGUUUGCUCUUUGAUAAGUGAAUAGGUUGGUGCGUUUGUGGGCGCGCCUUGAUCGCGGGUUGGUCUGACCCGUGUGAUGGUCCGAGCAGUCGGAGUAUCACAUGCUAGGCGAUUGGGGCGGAUGCGUUCACAAGCGAGUAUGAAUAUGUGUUGAUUGUGCUGAUGCACUGCACUUU
RNAcentral lists this transfer RNA (629 nucleotides) under Komagataeibacter melomenusus. Its description in RNAcentral is "partial 16S-23S ribosomal RNA intergenic spacer". The stretch from base 127 to 200 matches the Rfam family "tRNA". The record is from RNAcentral. Lineage: Bacteria; Pseudomonadati; Pseudomonadota; Alphaproteobacteria; Acetobacterales; Acetobacteraceae.